This is a long non-coding RNA of Stegastes partitus (bicolor damselfish), 249 nucleotides long. RefSeq lists it as uncharacterized. NCBI's taxonomy places the organism in Eukaryota, Metazoa, Chordata, Actinopteri, Pomacentridae. The transcript is spliced from 2 exons. The record is from RefSeq and is a predicted model, not a curated record.
AUCCUGUGGUUGCUCCCGGAACCUACAACAGGCGCUCGGACCCCCAGGGACGCAUUUGCCCGAACACCCUGCCGGACCGGAAGCACCAGGACAGGUGGCCGUCAAUCACCCGCGAGCGGCCGCUCCCGCGUCUGAAAGGCGAACCACGCAAUCCAUCAAUCAUUACCAUCAAUUAUUAACUGUGCAAAUGUCUGCUUGUUUUUAUGUGCAAAAUGGCUAAUAAAGUGCUUGUUUAAAGUGCAAAGUUUC